GGAAUUUUGGACAAUGGACGCAAGUCUGAUCCAGCCAUUCCGCGUGCAGGAUGAAGGCCCUCGGGUUGUAAACUGCUUUUGUACGGAACGAAAAGGUCUCUAUUAAUACUAGGGGCUCAUGACGGUACCGUAAGAAUAAGCACCGGCUAACUACGUGCCAGCAGCCGCGGUAAUACGUAGGGUGCAAGCGUUAAUCGGAAUUACUGGGCGUAAAGCGUGCGCAGGCGGUUAUAUAAGACAGAUGUGAAAUCCCCGGGCUCAACCUGGGAACUGCAUUUGUGACUGUAUAGCUAGAGUGCGGCAGAGGGGGAUGGAAUUCCGCGUGUAGCAGUGAAAUGCGUAGAUAUGCGGAGGAACACCGAUGGCGAAGGCAAUCCCCUGGGCCUGCACUGACGCUCAUGCACGAAAGCGUGGGGAGCAAACAGGAUUAGAUACCCUGGUAGUCCACGCCCUAAACGAUGUCAACUGGUUGUUGGGUCUUCACUGACUCAGUAACGAAGCUAACGCGUGAAGUUGACCGCCUGGGGAGUACGGCCGCAAGGUUGAAACUCAAAUGAAUUGACGG
This 565-nucleotide ribosomal RNA is filed under the name uncultured bacterium. RNAcentral describes it as "bacterial SSU rRNA". It matches the Rfam family "Bacterial small subunit ribosomal RNA", at positions 358 to 916 of the family's 1533-position model. The record is from RNAcentral.